Molecule: ribosomal RNA, 388 nt
Filed under: uncultured bacterium
Lineage: Bacteria
Description: bacterial SSU rRNA
Rfam family: Bacterial small subunit ribosomal RNA
Source: RNAcentral
GACGAACGCUGGCGGCGUGCUUAACACAUGCAAGUCGAGCGGUAAGGCCCUUUCGGGGGUACACGAGCGGCGAACGGGUGAGUAACACGUGGGUGACCUGCCCUCAGCUCUGGGAUAAGCCCGGGAAACUGGGUCUAAUACCGGAUAUGACUCCAUGACGCAUGUUGUGGGGUGGAAAGCCUUGUGCGGCUGAGGAUGGGCCCGCGGCCUAUCAGCUUGUUGGUGGGGUGAUGGCCUACCAAGGCGACGACGGGUAGCCGGCCUGAGAGGGCGACCGGCCACACUGGGACUGAGAUACGGCCCAGACUCCUACGGGAGGCAGCAGUGGGGAAUCUUGCGCAAUGGGCGAAAGCCUGACGCAGCGACGCCGCGUGAGGGAUGACGGCCU